AGCUCAAAGAGCGUGAUGAGGCCCGACGGCGACUCCCUCAUGAACUUGGUGUACCAGUGGUGCAUGUCCUCCUCCAGGAUGUCGUCCAUGUUGGAGCCAUAAGCGCCCAUGCCGGCCGGACUGCUCUUCACAAUGCGCAGGAGCCAAAAGCAGACAUAACCCUUUAAUGGGAUAACAGGGGCAAGACUUCUCAGAAGCUCCGGGACACGGCACCGUGAUGGGUGAGGUCUUGCUUUUCCGAGGCAAGACGCCGACCUUCCUCGAAUGAGCAGACACCAGAGCCUUAUUUUGUACUUAAGUCACUUGUAUGUUUGGCAUCAAGCUUCCUUUCCAUUCAAAAUAGAACUCAAAUCACUACGAGAGGUAGUAGCCUGGGGAGGGGGGGGGGGGGGGGUUGGUCGGUGCCCCCGAACCAAUGUUUUUCUAUCGGGCGAAAAGUCCAUCGAAGAAUGUAUUUUGACUGGGAAACUUUCGGCGGUCCACAAUAAAAGGCCACUAAAAUGUGCGGUGUAUAUUU
Molecule: long non-coding RNA, 517 nt
Organism: Phyllopteryx taeniolatus (common seadragon)
Lineage: Eukaryota; Metazoa; Chordata; Actinopteri; Syngnathiformes; Syngnathidae
Exons: 2
Source: RefSeq, a predicted model, not a curated record